ACUGGGGUAAAAAUCUGGGGUUGGUCAUGCUUUGAGCAGGGGGAUUAGACUAGAUCUCCCAAGGUCCCUUCCAACUCUGAUAUUCUAUGUACUUCCAUGACUCUAAGAGCUGGAGCUUUAAGAAAGAUCCCAAUUAAUGCAAGAGGUUGCAACCAAGGAUGUCAUUUUUCAUCUCUUUAGGUUGAAAAUUUAGGGUCAAAUUCUUCUCACCUGACAGCUAAAUAGCAUUAUUCUUGUGAAUAAGGCAAAGAAGAUUUAGCCUUUAAACUUGCCCAUUUUCCUGCAAGAUUAUAUUACUAUAACAGACUAUCUGUUUUUGGCAACUCAUUCUGAGGCCUGGUCUACAUACAGAUUUUGAACCAGUAUAAAUAGAACUCUCAGAGACCGUGCAUACCCACUGGUUUAUGAAGCAAACCCUGACAGCUGGUGGUUCUACUACAAACUCAGCAGGUGCAAAGUGGUGAUUCAAUGUGCAUUUUGGUGGCCUAAAGCAAAGUGGAGGAUCUUGCUGACAUGCAAUGAUGAUGCAGUCAGCAAUGUUCCACAACCCUUGCUGCAAGUGAAUCAGAUUUUGUGUGCAAAGCCUGAUUAGCAUGUAAAACAGUUAAUAAUGAGCAUGUAAAACUAGCCUCUGCCAAUGCUACAAAUCUGGUCCUGUGAGUUUUCUGCAUUCUGUUCAGUUGCUUGCCCAUAUAUGCAACCCUUCUCUGGCUUACACUCUUAUUUGUGCCUUCAACCAUAUAAUUCAU
This is a long non-coding RNA of Mauremys reevesii (Reeves's turtle), 749 nucleotides long. RefSeq lists it as uncharacterized. Lineage: Eukaryota; Metazoa; Chordata; Testudines; Geoemydidae. The record is from RefSeq and is a predicted model, not a curated record. The transcript has 3 exons.